Molecule: ribosomal RNA, 506 nt
Filed under: uncultured bacterium
Lineage: Bacteria
Description: partial 16S ribosomal RNA
Rfam family: Bacterial small subunit ribosomal RNA
Source: RNAcentral
AUUGAACGCUGGCGGCAGGCCUAACACAUGCAAGUCGGACGGUAGCACAGAGGAGCUUGCUCCUUGGGUGACGAGUGGCGGACGGGUGAGUAAUGUCUGGGGAUCUGCCCGAUAGAGGGGGAUAACCACUGGAAACGGUGGCUAAUACCGCAUAACGUCGCAAGACCAAAGAGGGGGACCUUCGGGCCUCCCACUAUCGGAUGAACCCAGAUGGGAUUAGCUAGUAGGCGGGGUAAUGGCCCACCUAGGCGACGAUCCCUAGCUGGUCGGAGAGGAUGACCAGCCACACUGGAACUGAGACACGGUCCAGACUCCUACGGGAGGCAGCAGUGGGGAAUAUUGCACAAUGGGCGCAAGCCUGAUGCAGCCAUGCCGCGUGUAUGAAGAAGGCCUUCGGGUUGUAAAGUACUUUCAGCGGGGAGGAAGGCGGUGAGGUUAAUAACCUUGCCGAUUGACGUUACCCGCAGAAGAAGCACCGGCUAACUCCGUGCCAGCCGCCGCCGUAA